Molecule: long non-coding RNA, 633 nt
Filed under: Vitis vinifera (wine grape)
Lineage: Eukaryota; Viridiplantae; Streptophyta; Magnoliopsida; Vitales; Vitaceae
Description: long non-coding RNA (VVIN_LNC004662)
Source: RNAcentral
CAAUAAUGAAAUUGCAUAGAUGGAUUCAGGCCUCAUUUUGAACAAUUUGUAUUUUUUUUUAUCAAAGCACUUUAAACCAGAAGAAAUUUGGGACUGUAACUUAGGUACUACCUUAAGAGCCCUUAGGUACUACCUUAAUGGCCCUUAGGUACUACCUUAAGGGACCCUAGGUACUACCUUAGCUAAACUUUAACUCUACCUCUCCCAAGCCUCGAGCCUUCCUUUGUGACCCUUACACCAUGCCAUUAUGUGCUUCUCUUGUAUGCUCAAGUGGUCUACUAAUGGUUUUUUGGUACUGUACCUUAGGUACUACCUUAAUGGCCUUUAGGUACUACCUUGGUGGCCUUCAGGUACUACCUUAAAGGACCCUAGAUACUACCUUAGCUAAACUUGAACUCAACCUUUCCCAAGCCUCGGGUCUUCCUUUGUGACCCUUAGACCAUGCCAUUAUGUGCUUCUCUUGUGUGCUCAAGUGGUCCACCAAUGGUUUUUUGGUACUGUUCCCUUGGUACUACCUUAAUGGCCUUUAGGUACUACUUUAGUGGCCUUCAGGUACUACCUUAAGAGACCCUAGGUACCACCUUAGCUAAACUUGAACUCUACCUCUCCCAAGCCUCAGGUCUUCCUUUGUGA